AGUGAACGCUGGCGGUAGGCCUAACACAUGCAAGUCGAACGGCAGCACAGUAAGAGCUUGCUCUUACGGGUGGCGAGUGGCGGACGGGUGAGGAAUACAUCGGAAUCUACUUUUUCGUGGGGGAUAACGUAGGGAAACUUACGCUAAUACCGCAUACGACCUACGGGUGAAAGCAGGGGAUCUUCGGACCUUGCGCGAUUGAAUGAGCCGAUGUCGGAUUAGCUAGUUGGCGGGGUAAAGGCCCACCAAGGCGACGAUCCGUAGCUGGUCUGAGAGGAUGGUCAGCCACACUGGAACUGAGCCACGGUCCAGACUCCUAAGGGAGGCAGCAGUGGGGAAUAUUGGACAAUGGGCGCAAGCCUGAUCCAGCCAUACCGCGUGGGUGAAGAAGGCCUUCGGGUUGUAAAGCCCUUUUGUUGGGAAAGAAAAGCAGCAGGUUAAUACCCCGCUGUUCUGACGGUACCCAAAGAAUAAGCACCGGCUAACUUCGUG
This 492-nucleotide ribosomal RNA is filed under the name uncultured bacterium. RNAcentral's name for it is "partial 16S ribosomal RNA". It matches the Rfam family "Bacterial small subunit ribosomal RNA", at positions 29 to 507 of the family's 1533-position model. The record is from RNAcentral.